GUUUACCCGAGUCUGCGUUAGGGAUAGAAGUGGUAUCCUUUUUUGUGGCUUUUUCUGCCACAAAAAAGAUAUAGCGGAUAGCCCGGCCGGAG
RNAcentral lists this small RNA (92 nucleotides) under Flavobacterium aquidurense. RNAcentral describes it as "Flavo-1 RNA". It matches the Rfam family "Flavo-1 RNA". The record is from RNAcentral. Lineage: Bacteria; Pseudomonadati; Bacteroidota; Flavobacteriia; Flavobacteriales; Flavobacteriaceae.